RNAcentral lists this ribosomal RNA (253 nucleotides) under uncultured bacterium. RNAcentral describes it as "partial 16S ribosomal RNA". It matches the Rfam family "Bacterial small subunit ribosomal RNA", at positions 15 to 263 of the family's 1533-position model. The record is from RNAcentral.
GAUCAUGGCUCAGGAUGAACGCUAGCGACAGGCUUAACACAUGCAAGUCGAGGGGCAGCACGGUGUAGCAAUACACUGGUGGCGACCGGCGCACGGGUGAGUAACACGUGUGCAACCAACCCCGUACCGGGAGAUAACCCGCGGAAACGUGGACUAACAUCCCAUAAGACUCUAGAGCCGCAUGGCUCUGGAUUUAAAAUUCCGGUGGUACGGGACGGGCACGCGCGACAUUAGGUAGUUGGCGGGGUAAGGG